Cricetulus griseus (Chinese hamster) is the source of this 1535-nucleotide non-coding RNA. Lineage: Eukaryota; Metazoa; Chordata; Mammalia; Rodentia; Cricetidae. The record is from RefSeq and is a predicted model, not a curated record.
CCUCAGAGUGCCUUGAUGUCAAUUACUUUCUUCAUGCUGUAUAAGUUUGGUUAAGUCUACUAAGGCGUGAUUGCCCAGACAUAGGAAGCACCCAGAGGAAAGGUCCUUUCAACCAAGGACCCUUUAAAGGCCCAGGCCUGGGAAGGGGUGGGGACUGUGUGGGGACUGUCCUUUCUCCCCCACCCUUGGGCGGUGGCGGUGCAGAGCUGGGGAGGGCUGUCUCCUCCUCUUUUCCCCCGCAGCUGCUCACUCCAGCCUGGGCGGACCGGAGGCAGUAACUCCGUGGGCUCCUGAGGAGGGGAUCUGCUCGGGCCACGAUGACAGCGGCCGGGGUCCUCCUGCUCCUGCUCUUGGGGACGCUGGGAGGCUCCCAGGCGCAGCGACCACAGCAUCGGCGACAGUCCCCAGCGCAUCAGCAGAGAGGAAUACGGACAGUAUUACAAAGGAGAUGCAAUUUGUACUGAGUCCAACAGACAAGAGAAAUGAAGAUGGACAGACCAGGAACAAAGCAACUAAGAGUGAAGGAAUGGUUCUAAUUGAAGUUUGAAGCUUCAUUACACAGUGCCUGGGAAUAUGUUGUCAAAUACAAUUCACCUCUCCCAUAGUGAAUGCCGGUGUAAUUUCAUAGGACAGGGUGCUCCAGAGUGCUCAGCUGUCACAAUAUUUGGCUCUAAUUUCAUUCAUCACAGACAAAAUAGCCACAAUGUUUUGAUUUUCUAUUUCCAAAUGUUGGUAUAGGGAAGCAAAUAAUGUAGAAUGUGUUUGAAUUUAAGUAGAUGAAUUUUGGGGACUGUAGCAACUGCUCAAUUGGUAAAGUGAUAGCAUUGAACAUCAUGAGGAUUGAAUUUAAUCCAUACAACCCACAUAAAAAAGCAGUAUAUACAUCCACUUCUAUAAUCUCAGUAUUUGGUUGGCAAAGACAGCCAGAUCCUGAGGCUUGCUAACCUGGGUUGAUCAACAAAUUCCAAGCCAUUAAGAGACCCUGCUUCAAGAAACAAGGGAGACCACAUUCAAGAAAUGAUACCCAAGGUUGACCUUGACACAAAUACACAAAACAGACUGGCUUUGGCAUUCAAACAGCAUGUUGUAGGCUAAUCCUGGCCUCCUUCAAUUAUAUUGCAAUGUUGCAACCUUCCAUGUUUUGACAAAUGUGUCUGUUGAAAUAAAACAAAAAAUGAAUUGCCAACCAAAUCACACUCAUCGUGUUUUAAUUUUAAUAUAUGAAAUGGAACAGGCUAAAAUUCUAAAAUUGCUGUUGUUGUUACACAAUACUUUCUCACAUAGAAGGGCAUCUCUGAUUUUAUCUGGAAAAUUGAAUACAUGUUAGGUAAGUUUGGUUGCUCAGUAAAUGAGUGUAUUUCAGUGUGAAGACUGUUUUUAUUAACAGAUUUUAUAAACUGGCAUGGGUAGCUCCCAGCUCUGUGGCAAGAAUCAUCUAUCAUCAUAAACCUGUAACAUAAAUGUACAGGCUACAUUCUUGUUAUGGGAGUCUGUAAGAGGAGUCCCCCACAUGAACAAUUUAUAUGAGAGGCUCA